Molecule: ribosomal RNA, 451 nt
Filed under: uncultured bacterium
Lineage: Bacteria
Description: partial 16S ribosomal RNA
Rfam family: Bacterial small subunit ribosomal RNA
Source: RNAcentral
GUGGGGAAUAUUGCGCAAUGGGGGAAACCCUGACGCAGCGACGCCGUGUGAGGGAAGAAGGCUUUCGGGUCGUAAACCUCUGUCAGAAAGGAAGAACCUCCCAAGUCCGAAUAGGGCUUGGGACUGACGGUACUUUCAAAGGAAGCACCGGCUAACUCCGUGCCAGCAGCCGCGGUAAUACGGAGGGUGCAAGCGUUAAUCGGAAUCACUGGGCGUAAAGCGCGCGUAGGGCGCUUUGUAAGUCGGACGUGAAAGCCCUCGGCUCAACCGGGGAACUGCGUUCGAUACUGCGAGGCUUGAGUCCUGGAGAGGGUGGCGGAAUUCCGGGUGUAGGAGUGAAAUCCGUAGAUAUCCGGAGGAACACCGGUGGCGAAGGCGGCCACCUGGACAGGUACUGACGCUGAGGCGCGAAAGCGUGGGGAGCAAACAGGAUUAGAAACCCUGGUAGUCC